UGGCUCAGUGGUAGAGUGCUUGCUUCGCAUGCAUGAAGCCCUGAGUUCAAUUCCUCAG
This 58-nucleotide transfer RNA is filed under the name Dipodomys ordii (Ord's kangaroo rat). It matches the Rfam family "tRNA", at positions 8 to 63 of the family's 71-position model. Rfam says of the family: Transfer RNA (tRNA) molecules are approximately 80 nucleotides in length. Their secondary structure includes four short double-helical elements and three loops (D, anti-codon, and T loops). Lineage: Eukaryota; Metazoa; Chordata; Mammalia; Rodentia; Heteromyidae. The record is from Rfam by way of RNAcentral.